RNAcentral lists this long non-coding RNA (790 nucleotides) under Marmota monax (woodchuck). The record is from RNAcentral. Lineage: Eukaryota; Metazoa; Chordata; Mammalia; Rodentia; Sciuridae.
AGUACCUAUGAUGUAUAUUUGAUAUCUAUUAUUUGUUUAUAUUAUAAAUGAAAGUUUUAAUUGAUUGAAUUAUCUCUGCCCAUUUCCUCCAGCCCAAGUUUGUGGCAGCCAACAUUCAACUUUCUAGUACUCUGCGUUCAAAUUUUUGAAAUUCCACUUUGUAUAUGCUUCUAAAAGUGUUUUAUAUGGUAUGAAAUGAUGAUUCAUAUCUUCAGCAAAAAUCAGUAAGGUAUACUUUCAAAUUUUACCUUAAGUAUUUUAUUUUAUUUUCCGGGCUGCAGCAAAAUAACAGGGGGGUGAUGAACAACUUGUGUAUGUUGAUACAGCAGGAGUGGAAGCCCUUUAUUGCAGGACAGGAGCAGUAUUUAUACAUUCCACACAGCUUAUCUAAUUAGCAUAAACUAGAUACAGCAGUCAACCAAUCAGGAAUCUCCACACUUAAUGGCUCGCUUUUGUUACUUCACAAACCACUCCCUCUGGCAUUUUGCCAGGCAUCAUCCAGACUUGUUUACAAACUCUAACAUUCCCCUGGCAAAAUGCCAGGUGUUAUUUUGACUUGUUUACAGACUCUAACAAUUUUAUUUUCCAAUCAGCAAAACUUAAAAGAAUAUGCUACUUGGUAAUGAGACUAACAGGUCAUCCACUGCUUAGUUUCUAAUUUUAUUUUUGAUGAUUUUGCUGUUGGAAGCUAUUUUAUUGAAAAGAAGAUUUUGUGUAAGACAGAUUCUUGUUAUACUUUGCCAAAAAUACCAUAUAAUUAAGAAAAGUGAAGUGUCUUUUUAAAUUUUCU